GCAAACUUGACAAGCUCUUCUCCUCUCACAACUUCUUGAAAGCUGGGUUAGAAUCAGAAUCUUUGCUAGAAAAGUCAGCCACCUCAUAAAAGUGGGCCUUCUGUGUUUGGGCUGAAAAAGAAAAGCAGAAAUCGAAAUGGGUUAUUGCUUUCGGAGAUGAGGCUUUGACAGGUUAGUGUUAUUUCAGCAACAAAUAUUUACUAACCAAAACUCAUACAUAGAGAAAGGAAUUCCAUUUGCUGUGUUGUAGUAGUUUUGGUUUCAUGCUCAUCUGUUCGUCUUCUUCUUCUUUCAUGUGACCAAAGAAUUUGGUUUCUUUGUG
Molecule: long non-coding RNA, 322 nt
Filed under: Ricinus communis (castor bean)
Lineage: Eukaryota; Viridiplantae; Streptophyta; Magnoliopsida; Malpighiales; Euphorbiaceae
Description: long non-coding RNA (RCOM_LNC001659)
Source: RNAcentral